UUCCCUUCCGUUGCUGAGGCGGCGGGAGCCACGUCCGGACAAACUAAGCUGAGGUCUUCUGAGGGAGUCGGCUGGCAAAGCAGCUCCGGUAGCGGGGCGGCAGCGGGGGUCAGUCAGGCUGCGACGGCGGUGCCAGGGCCCCGCUGAGCCCGCCCGCUCCUGGCACCGGGAGCCUGCCUGCGAGGUGGCCCGAGCCGAGAGGCAGCAAGUGAAGCUGUGAGGAGUUGGAGGCUCCCAGGGCAAAGCCUCAGACACCUGCGUGAUCUCGGGUUCCAGCCGUCCUUCCUAGCGCACCACCAAGCCGACCCUGACUUCCUGUGCAGCAUGCUCGGCCGCCUUAUGGUCGCCCAAGUGAGAAAAGUCCAAAGAUUUAUCACCCUGUCUUUGUAGUCGAAUUCUGAAGUCCAUCAACACUGCACCCUCAGAGCUACUCAUGGUUUCAGGUAUGCUCAUCUUCUGUUACUCUGGUUGUGAGUGAAAAUCCAGAGAAAAAUAGGUACCAGCUGAGGUAAUGAAAAUGCAGGCAGAGGUGAGUAGGAAAUUCUUCAACUAAAAUUGCAUUUCUGUUGCCAGCAGAUGAGAAGUACUCCUAUUUGUGUGGC
Molecule: long non-coding RNA, 602 nt
Filed under: Dasypus novemcinctus (nine-banded armadillo)
Lineage: Eukaryota; Metazoa; Chordata; Mammalia; Cingulata; Dasypodidae
Description: lncRNA (ENSDNOG00000051467.1)
Source: RNAcentral